UUUUUUUUUUUUUUUUUUUUUUUUGUCUUUUAUCUUUUUAGGGCCACACCCACGGCCUGUGGAGGUUCCCUGGCUAGGGGUCUAAUUGGAGCUGUGGCGACCAGCCUAUGCCACAGCCACAGCAACAGUAACACCAGAUCCAAGCUGCAUCUACAACCUACCUCACAGCUCAUGGCAACGCCAGAUCCUUAACCCACUGAGCGAGGCCAGGGAUUGAACCCACAACCUCAUGGUUCCUAGUCGGAUUUGUUUCCACUGUGCCACAGUGGGAACUCCUAGAGAAGCUUUUAAACAAAAGUCAGAUUGGAAAUUGUUUUCUGAAACUCUGCUGUAGAAGUCCUGAAUCUUUAUUGGUAUCACUUUAUCUCUAAUGCCUUCUUCAUUCAAGUAUUUCUCCCAGGAGCAACACCUACUAGUGUCAUGAAUUUGUUUUUCAGUCCUUGGGAAGCCAGGCCCUAGCCUUUCAAUUUCUUCAUAAAGGUGGUGUAAAGAUGGUAUCUUUCUCUUUUUUUUUGGCUGUGCCCCGUGGCGUAGGGAAGUUUUGGAGCCAGGGAUCGAACCUGAACCACAGCCGUAACCAGAGCCACAGCAAUGACAAUGCUGUAUCCUUAAGCUGCUGAGCCCUGAGGGAACUCCAUUAAGGUGCUAUCUUGAACUUAGUCCGCUUGAACUUGUCUUUGCCUAACCGAGGGUGACCCACAGGGGAACAUAUCUCUAUAUUCAGCACCUAUCCUGAGUAGCACUUUUUCUCUUGCACAACGGCGAGUAGAUUUCAGAGACGGUCCAUUGAAUAAGACCCCAGCUCUUCCACCAAAGUCCUGUUUCCUGAGACUACUUUCCUGUCUUUGAACAUUAAUGCUUGGAGAUUCACCACAAAGAAGAGAGCUCUAAAGGAGCACGGUGAGAGUGCUCUCAUAGCAUUCCAAGACAUUUCAAGGGCCAUCAGGUGAGGAACAGCAGAAAAAGAUGCCUUUGUGUGACUGGGGCUCCCUAAUCAAAAGGGAGGCCUUGGGCUCAGGGAUUGAGGCUGUCCCAGCCCUGUGGGUGGGCCCGGCAGACUGUCCUACAGAGGAGCUCUGGGAACCUGGAAUGGCAGGCAGAUACGGGCACCAGGGAUGUGAAUGGCACGUGUUCACAAAAGGCUUUUUAAAGAUGAGGGCUGUGAUAGAAGUGAAAACUUCAAGGCCUGUGGCAUGAAACCUUGCAGAGUGUGUCCAAGACUUUGUCGAUAAGGAGGAGGGGGAGACAGACCCAGGAAGGACAACAGUUAGAGAGAGAAAGUGUGGAUGGCCUCCCCCCCGCUACCCCCGGACAGCACACAUGUAUUCAGCCAGGAAGACACAUCCUUGUUUUUAGAAAGAAGGAUAGCUUGGGGUUUUCUCAUUUCUCCCAGUUUAUGACCUAGUUAGGAAGAUGGAAACAGAGGGGGUUGGAGAAAAGAUGAGUGGAGACUUGCUGGGCAUGAGAAGUAAUUGUCAGAGCGAGGGAGGGUUUUAUCAGUGACUCUUAGAGGCUGCUUGUAUUUUGGAUGCUGAAGCUACGAAUGGCUGGUAUGUGGUUACAUCUCCUAAAAACUAUUUCCACACGAGGCUUCUAAGGGGCUUUUAAAAUUAUGAUUAUUAUUUUUUAAUGGCCGCACCCUCGGCAUAUGGAAGUUCCCAGGCCAGGGACUGAAUCUGAGCCACAGCUGUGACCUACAACAGCAAUGCUGGAUCUUUAACCCACUUCGCUAAGCCAGGGAUUGAACCGCAGCAGUCAGAUUCUUAACCCACUGCACCACAGCAGGAACUGCUAAAAGACUUUUUUAAAGGGGAAAUAAACAGGCACCCCAAGUGGCAUUUUAAAUAAAAAUUGAUAUGUAAAUUAAGAUAGUUUUUAUUUAAAUAUUUAUACUUUUAUUUUAAUAAAGAGUUUAUUUUAUAGGGAAACUUCCUAGAGAGGAACUAAUCACAGGGCUCCCCCUUGUCUUUUUUUUCUGGUGCCAUCAGAAACCGCAAUGGAUUCCUGGGAAGGGCUGAUGGAGCUGGUGGAGUGUGUAUCUUGCCAUUUCAAUUCUGAUCCCAUAAUAGCAAACACCAUGCGUCAUGUGUGACCCUCCCCAUGUAGGAAGUGAGAAAUGGAAUCCCCACUGAUUCCUUUUCUCUUGUCUGAGAAAUCUUCCAGGGCCGAAUUACGUUUGCUCGGGUUUUUUAUUUUUAGGGCUGCACCCGUGGCAUAUGGAGAUUCCCAGGUUAGGGGUCAAAUGGGAGCAAUAGCUUUCAGCCUAUGCUACAGCCACAGCAACAUCAGGUCCAAGCCAUGUCUUCGACCUACACCAUAGUUCAUGGCAACGCCAGAUCCUUAACCCACUGAGCAAAGCCAGGGAUCAAACCCACAACCUCAUGGUUCCUAGUCAGAUUCGUUUCUGCUGCGCCACGACGGGAGCUCCACGUUUGCUGUUACUUCUCCUGUUCCUCUCCACUCUGGUAACUCAAAGGCAGCUUCAAGACCUAUUCCUUCAGAGCACUUGUCUUAAUAGUCUCCAUCAGAGAUGGGUUUGUUGUGGUGCUCCAGGGCUUGGUGUGAGACCAUUUCCUAUUCCAUGAACGCUGAAGACAUAGUGGAAAUAAUCCUGGCCUUUCCAGCCUGAUAGCGAGCCUGAGAGUUAGAAACUGGGCUCCCAUCCAAUCAUUCAGAGCCAAUGACAAAUUGUAAAGCUAUCAGAAAACUGGAUCCUGGCCUUGGGAUGGGUGGGGUGAUUCACAGACAAGCUUUCCCAGGGAAUUGUGGUCGUCCCAGGUCAUUUGGGGACUGGAGGGGGAGGAUGCCAGGCCUGCCCUCCUACUGCAGUUGUGGCCUGUUCUUGCUCAGCCUGUCCCCGAGUGGGUCCUAGUUCAUGGCCCUUUCACAUUGGCCAUUUUCAUCGCAUUCUAGGAUGAAAGCGGCCUUGGGUUUGCAGUGGAGGAAGGAAACAUUUCAAAGGAAAGCAUGUGUGUUUAAGUCUUUGUGCUUAUUGUCUGUUAGCUCUGUGACCUUGGUCUUGUGGCUUCUUUCAGCCUCACUCUCCUGUCUGUAAAAUGCUGAUACUUUGUAGAAUUGUGAGAAUUAAAUAAGAUUACCAUUG
Molecule: long non-coding RNA, 3103 nt
Filed under: Sus scrofa (pig)
Lineage: Eukaryota; Metazoa; Chordata; Mammalia; Artiodactyla; Suidae
Description: lncRNA (ENSSSCG00000052125.1)
Source: RNAcentral